This 663-nucleotide long non-coding RNA is filed under the name Mus spretus (western wild mouse). RNAcentral describes it as "lncRNA (ENSMSPG00010012852.1)". Lineage: Eukaryota; Metazoa; Chordata; Mammalia; Rodentia; Muridae. The record is from RNAcentral.
AGAGAAGGACCGGACCGGCCGCCAUGUUGGAGCCCUGGAGCUGCGGCGAGCCAAGGUUUCGAGGGGCUCGUGGAGCCGAAAGGUGGCAUGGUGAGAAUGGUGAGGCUAGGAUGUAGAACUUGAUAGCCUCGCGCACCGGCUAGGACUGAACUGAGGCUACACUGGGGACCUUCAGGGCUGUCGAGCCAGAAAUGCCAUCGCGAGUCGGAGUGAACCGCAACCCGCAGGGGUUGCACAAGGCCUCGCCACCCCGGGACACAGGGAGUCGCUUUACUGAGCGUGGAGAAACCCUUAGACUUCCUGGGGAGACUCUCUGGGCAAAAUAUGUCUUUGUUGUGGUGUGGGGACUCGGGGCGACGGGCCUCGCUCCUGUAAGACGAAAAGCUCGCGUGCACCCUGUGUCGGACCCCUGCUCCCACCACUGAAUUUUCGUUCGGUCGUGAAUUGCAAAGGGCCUCAAAGAAAUCCUUUGCUAGAUAAUGUGAAGGGUUGUGGAGCUUGGCCCUGAAAAUGACAAAGGAAGGAUCUACCAAAAGAAGUUAGCACCUAACCUUUCUUACCCCACCAGCGAACGUAAACGACAUUGAAAAGGGACUGCAAGUGAGCAGUCUUACUCGACUAACGCUGAAUGAACUGUGCUAAAAUACUGCGUAUAUUCGAAAU